Molecule: ribosomal RNA, 1355 nt
Filed under: Bifidobacterium sp.
Lineage: Bacteria; Bacillati; Actinomycetota; Actinomycetes; Bifidobacteriales; Bifidobacteriaceae
Also listed under: 3 other names
Description: bacterial SSU rRNA
Rfam family: Bacterial small subunit ribosomal RNA
Source: RNAcentral
GGGUUCGAUUCUGGCUCAGGAUGAACGCUGGCGGCGUGCUUAACACAUGCAAGUCGAACGAGUGGCGAACGGGUGAGUAAUGCGUGACCGACCUGCCCCAUGCACCGGAAUAGCUCCUGGAAACGGGUGGUAAUGCCGGAUGCUGAAAGGCGGCAUGGGAUGGGGUCGCGUCCUAUCAGCUUGAUGGCGGGGUAACGGCCCACCAUGGCUUCGACGGGUAGCCGGCCUGAGAGGGCGACCGGCCACAUUGGGACUGAGAUACGGCCCAGACUCCUACGGGAGGCAGCAGUGGGGAAUAUUGCACAAUGGGCGCAAGCCUGAUGCAGCGACGCCGCGUGCGGGAUGACGGCCUUCGGGUUGUAAACCGCUUUUGAUCGGGAGCAUGAGUGUACCUUUCGAAUAAGCACCGGCUAACUACGUGCCAGCAGCCGCGGUAAUACGUAGGGUGCAAGCGUUAUCCGGAAUUAUUGGGCGUAAAGGGCUCGUAGGCGGUUCGUCGCGUCCGGUGUGAAAGUCCAUCGCUUAACGGUGGAUCUGCGCCGGGUACGGGCGGGCUGGAGUGCGGUAGGGGAGACUGGAAUUCCCGGUGUAACGGUGGAAUGUGUAGAUAUCGGGAAGAACACCAAUGGCGAAGGCAGGUCUCUGGGCCGACUGACGCUGAGGAGCGAAAGCGUGGGGAGCGAACAGGAUUAGAUACCCUGGUAGUCCACGCCGUAAACGGUGGAUGCUGGAUGUGGGGCGUUCCGUGUCGGAGCUAACGCGUUAAGCAUCCCGCCUGGGGAGUACGGCCGCAAGGCUAAAACUCAAAGAAAUUGACGGGGGCCCGCACAAGCGGCGGAGCAUGCGGAUUAAUUCGAUGCAACGCGAAGAACCUUACCUGGGCUUGACAUGCACAGGUGGUGCAUGGUCGUCGUCAGCUCGUGUCGUGAGAUGUUGGGUUAAGUCCCGCAACGAGCGCAACCCUCGCCCUGUGUUGCCAGCACGUGGGAACUCACGGGGGACCGCCGGGGUCAACUCGGAGGAAGGUGGGGAUGACGUCAGAUCAUCAUGCCCCUUACGUCCAGGGCUUCACGCAUGCUACAAUGGCCGGCAACGGGAUGCGACACGGCGACGUGGAGCGGAUCCCUGCCGGUCUCAGUUCGGAUGGAGUCUGCAACCCGACUCCAGAAGGCGGAGUCGCUAGUAAUCGCGGAUCAGCAACGCCGCGGUGAAUGCGUUCCCGGGCCUUGUACACACCGCCCGUCAAGUCAUGAAAGUGGGUAGCACCCGAAGCCGGUGCCUAUGGAGCCGUCUAAGGUGAGACUCGUGAUUGGGACUAAGUCGUAACAAGGUAGCCGUACCGGAAGGUGCGGCUG